This 240-nucleotide ribosomal RNA is filed under the name uncultured bacterium. RNAcentral describes it as "partial 16S ribosomal RNA". It matches the Rfam family "Bacterial small subunit ribosomal RNA", at positions 537 to 776 of the family's 1533-position model. The record is from RNAcentral.
AGCGUUGUUCGGAAUUACUGGGCGUAAAGGGUUCGUAGGUGGCUUGCUAAGUCAGACGUGAAAUCCCUCAGCUUAACUGGGGAACUGCGUCUGAUACUGGCGAGCUUGAGUGUAGGAGAGGAACGCGGAAUUCCAGGUGUAGCGGUGAAAUGCGUAGAUAUCUGGAGGAACACCGGUGGCGAAGGCGGCGUUCUGGACUGCAACUGACACUGAAGAACGAAAGCCAGGGGAGCAAACGGG